Kogia breviceps (pygmy sperm whale) is the source of this 67-nucleotide small nucleolar RNA. RefSeq annotates it as small nucleolar RNA U54. The record is from RefSeq and is a predicted model, not a curated record. The transcript has a single exon. Lineage: Eukaryota; Metazoa; Chordata; Mammalia; Artiodactyla; Physeteridae.
UGGCGAUGAGGAGACCAUUACUGCGUCGAAUUACGAUGAUAGCUUUACUUGCUAUUCUGAGCCAGCA